This 465-nucleotide ribosomal RNA is filed under the name uncultured bacterium. Its description in RNAcentral is "partial 16S ribosomal RNA". It matches the Rfam family "Bacterial small subunit ribosomal RNA", at positions 28 to 507 of the family's 1533-position model. The record is from RNAcentral.
GACGAACGCUGGCGGCGUGCUUAACACAUGCAAGUCGAACGGAAAGGCCCCUUUGGGGGUCCUCGAGUGGCGAACGGGUGAGUAACACGUGAGUAACCUGCCCUUGACUUCGGGAUAACUUCAGGAAACUGGGGCUAAUACCGGAUAGGAAUCCUUGCUGCAUGGUGGGGGUUGGAAAGCUUCGGCGGUUUUGGAUGGACUCGCGGCUUAUCAGCUUGUUGGUGGGGUAGUGGCUUACCAAGGCUUUGACGGGUAGCCGGCCUGAGAGGGCGACCGGCCACAUUGGGACUGAGAUACGGCCCAGACUCCUACGGGAGGCAGCAGGGGGGAAUAUUGCACAAGGGGCGGAAGCCUGAUGCAGCAACGCCGCGUGCGGGAUGACGGCCUUCGGGUUGGAAACCGCUUUCAGCAGGGGCGAAGCUUGUGGUGACGGUACCUGCAGAAGAAGCACCGGCUAACUACGUG